GUUUUCUCCCUGGAACAUCCCUGUGGACUUUAAGAAGAGUUUAGGAACCUGGUAUAAGGGUCCAAAUGCUUUUAUUCAUCCCACACCUUAAUUGAGUGAGUAGUUCAUUUCCACAGGUACAUCUGUAUCCAGAAUAACAUCUGCUGUCUGUUCUCCAGUGUUCCAGAAGUCCUAGUGGAAUGGGAUCAUAGCCGAAAGGAGAACCUGCCUUGGUUUGGUCAGAAAAGGGUAUCGUGCAUGACAGGUUGAAAUGUGAAGUCCUGCCAUUUUGGAAGGGAGUAUGUACUGCAUCUUUCUAAGAUCUUCCAUGACCUGCACCACCAAACAUUUUGGACUCCUACAGUCUCUUUGUGAAUCCCUCAUUGAGUCUGGAUGUGUGUGCCACUCGGAGCAAGUAAGGGCUUUUCUACUUUCUCAGCUUGAUUGAGCUGAGAUGCCCACUCUGUAAAUUGUCCUCUUCUUGAGGUGUUGGGUUUUUUAAAUUUCUAGGUCCCAAGGGUCAUAGAUCCUGUUAAUACUUCCCUUUUCAUGUUUACCAUGUACUUGCCAAGAAAGCACUGACUCCAACAAGAUUCAGCUGCUUUGGGGUGCCUUGACACCUUAAAAAUCCUUGCUGUGGUGUUAAUAGAGGUCUUCUGUGAUAUAAUUUGUCAAAGUAGUCAUCUAUUUAUUUUUCUUUCUCUUUUUUCUUUUUUCAUUUUUAAUUUAUUUGCUGUUGUUUGUACAUAUUUUAUUAAGGAAGUGUUUUGGGGCAAAUUCUGGGUUUAUUAAUGAGAAUUUUCUGUAAUUUUUCUCUGUCUGCCUUGUUUCAGUUUUACGUAAUUUUCUUUUAUUUUUAAGACUUUACUUUCUUUAGAGCAGUUUUAGGUUCACAGAAAAAUUAAGAGGAAGGUGCAGAGAUUUCUCAUAUACGCCCUGUCCCCUCAAGUGUAUAGCCUUCC
Molecule: long non-coding RNA, 941 nt
Organism: Equus caballus (horse)
Lineage: Eukaryota; Metazoa; Chordata; Mammalia; Perissodactyla; Equidae
Source: Ensembl